This is a non-coding RNA of Gasterosteus aculeatus aculeatus (three-spined stickleback), 219 nucleotides long. NCBI's taxonomy places the organism in Eukaryota, Metazoa, Chordata, Actinopteri, Perciformes, Gasterosteidae. The record is from RefSeq and is a predicted model, not a curated record.
GUGAUGAUAAACACUUUAUCCACGGUUACCUAACCCUUCGAACACAGUUCAGUGCACUAACCCCUGGGUGCCAACAAAUCGUGUUUGGCGCCAAAGGUGGAGAUGGGGACCUCCAGCCACAACGACGUGGACCUCAGCUGGAUCCCUCAGGAGACCCUCAACCAGAUCAUGCAGAGUCGCAGAGACAAAGCGUCUCCCAGAAGAUCUCCUCGCAAGAGG